UGAGCACCAGGCGAGGAUCGCCCACAAAUGAGGGACACAACCAAGGACAAAGUUGACAAGAUUCAAAAGUGGUUUGGGUAAAAGAGACUCAAUCCUAGAGGGGCAUUUGAUUCCAAAAGGGAAGAAGACGUACUUCAUCUGGAACAUCGUGAAGUCACAGAAGAACUUCACAAGUGUUCCGAUCGGAAGGGAGCCCUUUGAGUAAGUGAAAUGAAGCGUGAAUAACUGCCUAAUUAGUGGACAUGAAAACUGGACAGUCUCCAAAGUCAUCAGAGAUGACCACGCUUGCCAGGCAACUUACUAGACUAAGGGUGACGUGCCCAUCAUGCAGGAAGCUUCUCCAAGGCUGGCGAGAGCAACUUGUCUGCUUUGAGAAAUGCAGAUCUAUCAGGAUCCAGAAUCGGACUCUGAAAAAGCUGUCAUUUCAUGUCUCUAAAACAGCCUUUGAUUUAAUGUACAAGAUGUCAAGAAGUAAAGGACAAUAAAAUAAAAACCAAAAAAGGAGAACUAUUUCAAUUAAGAAGCAUUCCUAUAUCAAUUCUUGGAAAUCACAUAAAAUAAAAGCUGUCAGAAUCAA
This 577-nucleotide long non-coding RNA is filed under the name Homo sapiens (human). RNAcentral's name for it is "HSALNT0294014". The record is from RNAcentral. Lineage: Eukaryota; Metazoa; Chordata; Mammalia; Primates; Hominidae.